UGCCCCGCAUCCCAACGCUCUCGUUUACACGUUGCACGCUCCGGGCAGGCGGCCACUGUACCUCGCUCGUCUACGCCAUCGAAAUCCACGCCCGCCCCCUGGCCUGGCUCCCUCCCCCGCCGCGUCCCCGCCGUCGCGCGAUUGCGGAUGAACCCGGCGCACGCGGCUCGCGAGGGUUUCGGCGCACAUUUGGAAUUUCGUGGUCCACCGCGGCGAGACCGGAGGGCGCGGGAGGUACGGCGCGCGGCCGUCGGCUCUUCCAAUGCGGCCGCGCAGGUCGGAGCGCGCGAGGCAAGCGCAAGUCGGUGGCAGGCGGCGGCGGCGGAACAGCUUCUUCAGAAACUGCAAGCAUCGGUUUUCAUCCUACAUUACAUCAGACAUCAUCAGAUGUAAUUCGGAAUAGUACUGCCUUGCUGUCUCGGCUUCUGUGGAAGUGUCCCAGUGAAGUGGACUUCUUUGCAGGUUUUAUUACAGUAUGUUGCAAUCUUCCAUAAUAUUCUGAGGUGCCAAUUAUGAUACAUUGUUUUAUAUUUUUAUUAUAUAUACACUUUGAAUGAGUGCUUCCACAGGAUCAUUUAAUAUAUCAAUGGCUAUAUGUCCCCAAUAUUUGAUGUUAGCAAACAUUUCAUAUGGGCACUGUAUCAGAGUAAAUAUAGAUAUACAUUUGUGAGAGGAAGGAAAAAUCCAGUUUAUGUCA
Molecule: long non-coding RNA, 697 nt
Organism: Triticum aestivum (bread wheat)
Lineage: Eukaryota; Viridiplantae; Streptophyta; Magnoliopsida; Poales; Poaceae
Exons: 2
Source: RefSeq, a predicted model, not a curated record